GACGAACGCUGGCGGCGUGCUUAACACAUGCAAGUCGAACGGAAAGGCCCUGCUUUUGUGGGGUGCUCGAGUGGCGAACGGGUGAGUAACACGUGAGUAACCUGCCCUUGACUUUGGGAUAACUUCAGGAAACUGGGGCUAAUCCCGGAUAGGAGCUCCUGCUGCAUGGUGGGGGUUGGAACGUUUCGGCGGUUGGGGAUGGACUCGCGGCUUAUCAGCUUGUUGGUGGGGUAGUGGCUUACCAAGGCUUUGACGGGUAGCCGGCCUGAGAGGGUGACCGGCCACAUUGGGACUGAGAUACGGCCCAGACUACUACGGGAGGCAGCAGUGGGGAAUAUUGCACAAUGGGCGGAAGCCUGAUGCAGCAACGCCGCGUGCGGGAUGACGGCCUUCGGGUUGUAAACCGCUUUCGCCUGUGACGAAGCGUGAGUGACGGUAAUGGGUAAAGAAGCACCGGCUAACUACGUG
Molecule: ribosomal RNA, 468 nt
Filed under: uncultured bacterium
Lineage: Bacteria
Description: partial 16S ribosomal RNA
Rfam family: Bacterial small subunit ribosomal RNA
Source: RNAcentral